RNAcentral lists this ribosomal RNA (422 nucleotides) under uncultured bacterium. RNAcentral describes it as "bacterial SSU rRNA". It matches the Rfam family "Bacterial small subunit ribosomal RNA", at positions 355 to 774 of the family's 1533-position model. The record is from RNAcentral.
UGAGGAAUAUUGGUCAAUGGGCGCAAGCCUGAACCAGCCAUGCCGCGUGCAGGAUGAAGCAUCUAUGGUGUGUAAACUGCUUUUGUACGGGAAGAAACCACCCCUCGUGAGGGGUAUUGACGGUACCGUAAGAAUAAGGAUCGGCUAACUCCGUGCCAGCAGCCGCGGUAAUACGGAGGAUCCAAGCGUUAUCCGGAAUCAUUGGGUUUAAAGGGUCCGUAGGCGGGUCUGUAAGUCAGUGGUGAAAUCUCCCCGCUCAACGGGGAAACUGCCAUUGAUACUGCAGGUCUUGAAUUAUUGGGAAGUAACUAGAAUAUGUAGUGUAGCGGUGAAAUGCUUAGAGAUUACAUGGAAUACCGAUUGCGAAGGCAGCUCACAAAACUGUAACUGACACUGAGGCUCGAAAGUGCGGGGAUCAAACA